GAGUUUGAUCCUGGCUCAGGAUGAACGCUGGCGGCGUGCUUAACACAUGCAAGUCGAACGAGCGAGAGGAGGUUUACUUUCUCAAGCGAGUGGCGAACGGGUGAGUAACGCGUGAGGAACCUGCCUCAAAGAGGGGGACAACAGUUGGAAACGACUGCUAAUACCGCAUAAGCGCACAGCAUCGCAUGAUGCAGUGUGAAAGACUCCGGUGGUAUAAGAUGGACCCGCGUUGGAUUAGCUAGUUGGUGAGGUAACGGCCCACCAAGGCGACGAUCAGUAGCCGACCUGAGAGGGUGAACGGCCACAUUGGGACUGAGACACGGCCCAGACUCCUACGGGAGGCAGCAGUGGGGAAUAUUGCACAAUGGGGGAAACCCUGAUGCAGCGACGCCGCGUGAAGGAAGAAGUAUCUCGGUAUGUAAACUUCUAUCAGCAGGGAAGAAAAUGACGGUACCUGACUAAGAAGCCCCGGCUAACUACGUGCCAGCCGCCGCGGUAAUUC
This 502-nucleotide ribosomal RNA is filed under the name uncultured bacterium. RNAcentral describes it as "bacterial SSU rRNA". It matches the Rfam family "Bacterial small subunit ribosomal RNA", at positions 9 to 526 of the family's 1533-position model. The record is from RNAcentral.